GGCAACUUCACCGGUGGUCUAUUUUUUGUUCCAAAUAUAUUCCAAAAAUGGACCUGUCAAAAUUAAUUAGACCAGUGAAAAUAGACCAAAUCGCCCGCGUGCGCACCGGUUGUUCUAUUUAUUUAGUUUUCGCGAUCCAUUUGAAAUGUAAACAACGAAAACAAUCAAAAUUAGUAAAUUUUGUGUUUUAACGCGGAAUUGUGAAAUAAUUUUCGAAAAAUAUAGUGCUUCAGACCUUUAUCACGUUUUGUAGACCCGGGAAAAGCUUAAUUCAUCCGGUGCUAGGCUCACAAUAGGUCUUCCCAGUAGUUGGCCUUCCAGUAUACGUAAUAUUUUGGCGAGAAGGAUGUCAUUCUCAAGGUGCUGGAGAAACACGGCGGGAUUUGCGAUUGCCACCGCUAGGUCGUCACGUUCGUAUAUGUUGCCAGCGCUUAUAGCCAUGAAUUGGAAUCAAUAUCACGGAUACUGCCGAUGUCGUGAUGUGGCCGGAAUUGGUCAUCCAGGAAGUGGACAUGUCAAGCGGUAAAAUUCGAGCUGUAAUAGGUGGGAAGGCGCCCGGAGCAGGAAUCGAUUCCAAUUGACAUGAUCCAUGAGACAGCAUUUGGGACUGCCGAAGUUUCGGUACAAAUGAAAGAAAAAUAUUUCGUGGAAGAAUCCGACACAUGGGAAAUGGAAAAGGUGGCUGCCAAAGAACCGAGUGGAGUAGACACUAUGAUCGCUCAGUUUCCAACGUUGGCCCAUAUUGAGGGAUGCUCCCACCAGGACAACGAUUUCAUCGAUUUCGUUAGCUUGGUUACCUCGAAUGAAGUCUAGAACAGACCUAAUUUUAGCGACUACAAUAAAAUAGGUAAUUCUUCAUAUUAA
Molecule: long non-coding RNA, 864 nt
Filed under: Aedes aegypti (yellow fever mosquito)
Lineage: Eukaryota; Metazoa; Arthropoda; Insecta; Diptera; Culicidae
Description: lncRNA AAEL023772
Source: RNAcentral